GCCCGGGUGGCGGAAUUGGCAGACGCGCAGGACUCAGGAUCCUGUGGGAGCAAUCCCGUGCGGGUUCAAAUCCCGCCCCGGGCACCA
Molecule: transfer RNA, 87 nt
Filed under: Desulfurobacterium thermolithotrophum
Lineage: Bacteria; Pseudomonadati; Aquificota; Aquificia; Desulfurobacteriales; Desulfurobacteriaceae
Also listed under: 2 other names
Description: tRNA-Leu
Rfam family: tRNA
About the family: Transfer RNA (tRNA) molecules are approximately 80 nucleotides in length.
Source: RNAcentral